Molecule: non-coding RNA, 191 nt
Organism: Peromyscus maniculatus bairdii (prairie deer mouse)
Lineage: Eukaryota; Metazoa; Chordata; Mammalia; Rodentia; Cricetidae
Source: RefSeq, a predicted model, not a curated record
CCAAAGUUGCCAAGUUCUUUCACCCUUUCUGGAACCUGCAGAGAUGCAUUGUCAGCAAUAGAAAUUGAGAAAGGGAUAGAAGAUAGAAAAUUUUGACAGAAGAUAACUUCACUGCAGCAUCAGACAUUCUUCCAGUCCGCUUUCCUUUUCCCUUGAGGAUAAAACCCCUGCCUCUCAAAAAAAUAUAUAUA